AGGUGCUUCCUAGGUGCCCAGAUCUUACAUAUGUCAUCUGAUUUAAUCCUUACGGCCAGUCCAAAAGUGUAAGCUUCAUGAGAGAAGGGGCUUUGUGACAUCCAGAAUUGUUACUCCAGGGCCUAGAACACUGUCUGAAAUAUAGCCGUUACUCAACUACCAUGUGGAAGUGUCUCUGACAGGAAGAGGAAGCAGGACCUCCAACCUGGGUGAGGUAAUGCUACUCAAAAAUCAAAUGAUGAGGUCCCAGUUAAGAUGGCUGCCUGACCCAAGUAUUUCCCCUGCCUUCCAAAAGCCCAAUUAAAUGAUUGCAAAAGAAUAGCCCAGAAGAACAAAGAGAAUGGGAAGAACACCAAGAUAAUACCAAAGAUUUCAAUUAAUUUCUGAAAAACUGAAGAGGACAGAAGACUGUGGGACCUUCUUGGACCAUCUCGAGUGUACUUGUAUUCCUGUUAGUAAAUCCCGGGGCAGAUUUGUGAGGAGCUGGGCCUGAAAGUUUAGCAAGGCUCUCUCUAUUCCAUAAGUUAAUAAGCCUCCUUCACAAUAUUUCAUAGAAUUAGAGAAUUUGGAAGGGACAUUAGAAAUUGCAUUUCUAAACUCUGCAUUGAAUUGGUGAAGAAAAUGAGGCAUAAGGAAAGUAGGAGACUGCCCUCAGUAACCCACUAGUAACUAGCAGACCUGAGAUAAUUAACCAUGUAUCUUUCCCAGUACACGUCCCACCAUAUUCCACUGCCUGUGUCAGAUGGCCAGGAUUGCCAAGGCAUUCUAUCACUUAGUCCCUUUUAUCUUUCCAGUUACAUGUACCUCUAUCACACUAUUGCAUGAGGCAUGGAAGAAAAUACUGAGCCAGGGGUCAGAACACAAAAAUGCCUCAGCUCUGUUCCUGAUUAACUGUGUUGAUUCAUUCAUCUGCUUUGUAUUUGUGGGGGUAUAUGGUGUGUUAGGGAGUGGAGUGGACAAAUGGAGAUGGGGUUUUUAAUGUAUAUUUUUAAGGUUUUCUUUUUAAUUAAAAAUUAUAUACAGGAAUGUUAUUC
Herpailurus yagouaroundi (jaguarundi) is the source of this 1034-nucleotide long non-coding RNA. RefSeq lists it as uncharacterized. The transcript is spliced from 3 exons. The record is from RefSeq and is a predicted model, not a curated record. Lineage: Eukaryota; Metazoa; Chordata; Mammalia; Carnivora; Felidae.